Molecule: ribosomal RNA, 253 nt
Filed under: uncultured bacterium
Lineage: Bacteria
Description: partial 16S ribosomal RNA
Rfam family: Bacterial small subunit ribosomal RNA
Source: RNAcentral
UACGUAUGGAGCAAGCGUUAUCCGGAUUUACUGGGUGUAAAGGGAGCGCAGGCGGUCUGGCAAGUCUGAUGUGAAAGGCCGGGGCUCAACCCCGGGACUGCAUUGGAAACUGUCAGACUGGAGUGUCGGAGAGGUAAGCGGAAUUCCUAGUGUAGCGGUGAAAUGCGUAGAUAUUAGGAGGAACACCAGUGGCGAAGGCGGCUGACUGGACGAUGACUGACGCUGAGGCUCGAAAGCGUGGGGAGCAAACAGG